This 957-nucleotide ribosomal RNA is filed under the name Moraxella sp. A2a-7. Its description in RNAcentral is "bacterial SSU rRNA". It matches the Rfam family "Bacterial small subunit ribosomal RNA", at positions 97 to 1056 of the family's 1533-position model. The record is from RNAcentral. Lineage: Bacteria; Pseudomonadati; Pseudomonadota; Gammaproteobacteria; Moraxellales; Moraxellaceae.
GGCGGACGGGUGAGUAACAUUUAGGAAUCUGCCUAGUAGUGGGGGAUAGCUCGGGGAAACUCGAAUUAAUACCGCAUACGACCUACGGGUGAAAGGGGGCGCAAGCUCUUGCUAUUAGAUGAGCCUAAAUCAGAUUAGCUAGUUGGUGGGGUAAAGGCCCACCAAGGCGACGAUCUGUAACUGGUCUGAGAGGAUGAUCAGUCACACCGGAACUGAGACACGGUCCGGACUCCUACGGGAGGCAGCAGUGGGGAAUAUUGGACAAUGGGGGCAACCCUGAUCCAGCCAUGCCGCGUGUGUGAAGAAGGCCUUUUGGUUGUAAAGCACUUUAAGCAGGGAGGAGAGGCUAAUGGUUAAUACCCAUUAGAUUAGACGUUACCUGCAGAAUAAGCACCGGCUAACUCUGUGCCAGCAGCCGCGGUAAUACAGAGGGUGCGAGCGUUAAUCGGAAUUACUGGGCGUAAAGCGAGUGUAGGUGGCUCAUUAAGUCACAUGUGAAAUCCCCGGGCUUAACCUGGGAACUGCAUGUGAUACUGGUGGUGCUAGAAUAUGUGAGAGGGAAGUAGAAUUCCAGGUGUAGCGGUGAAAUGCGUAGAGAUCUGGAGGAAUACCGAUGGCGAAGGCAGCUUCCUGGCAUAAUAUUGACACUGAGAUUCGAAAGCGUGGGUAGCAAACAGGAUUAGAUACCCUGGUAGUCCACGCCGUAAACGAUGUCUACUAGCCGUUGGGGUCCUUGAGACUUUAGUGGCGCAGUUAACGCGAUAAGUAGACCGCCUGGGGAGUACGGCCGCAAGGUUAAAACUCAAAUGAAUUGACGGGGGCCCGCACAAGCGGUGGAGCAUGUGGUUUAAUUCGAUGCAACGCGAAGAACCUUACCUGGUCUUGACAUAGUGAGAAUCCUGCAGAGAUGCGGGAGUGCCUUCGGGAAUUCACAUACAGUGCUGCAUGGCUGUCGUC